GGGGGGUCUUCUCUGCAGCAACCCCUCCCUCUUUCGUCCUCCCAUGCUCUUUCUUCCUCUUUCCCCUUACUCAUCUGUUUCUGCCGCUGCACCGAGAGCAAGGACACCUGCCGCUCCCUGAUGAUUCAGCUGUUUCAGCGGCUCCCAGCGUUUUUGAGGGCGUUUUUCGUCCCCCGGCCACUGCAGUGCGUGGUCGCCCCGUCCUUGACGUGGAUACAGUUGUUGCAGCAGCAGCCGGUCCGUCCCGUCAUCCACGCCUCCUCCUCCUCCUCCUCUUCCUCUGCCAAAGUGUUCAGAUAAUUUGGCGUCGGUAUUCUCCUGGGGAUUUGGUUUCUCGGGAAAAGAAAAAUAAUUUGGCGUCUCCUGGGGAUUUGGUUUCUCGUGAAAAGAAAAGUAAUUUCCUUUGUGCACAGGCCGUCGUCGUCAAGCUCGGACUCUCUCAAGAGCUAAAUCUUACUUCCUUUUUGAAAUACCUGCUCUGAAAAAUCGCUGCAGCUUCGGCCUCGCGAUGGAAAAUGCGC
Molecule: long non-coding RNA, 521 nt
Organism: Cololabis saira (Pacific saury)
Lineage: Eukaryota; Metazoa; Chordata; Actinopteri; Beloniformes; Belonidae
Exons: 3
Source: RefSeq, a predicted model, not a curated record